GGGGCUGCACUGGUUUCGACACGGGUUCGGACGCGCAGCAGGGCAUGUCGAGGUUCUGUCACCUCGUAAAUCCGCAGAAAAAAAACUAACUGCAAACGACGAACGUUUCGCAAUCGCCGCUUAAUCCGGUGAUCCUUGCAACAGUUGGCCGAUAGGCUGGGUUAGGGGGUCGCAAGACAUCCUAGCUGCAAGGUAAAACAUAUGGGCUGGUACCUCAUCGGGCAUCUUGAUGAGGGGCGAGAAAAUAGGAUGCUGGCUUGUUGCAUAGCGUGUCGCUGUGCGAUGCAACCGGCGAGAAACAAUCCAGACGACUACACAUGUAGAACUGCUCGAAAAAGACUUGUGGACGCGGGUUCAAAUCCCGCCAGCUCCACCA
This 376-nucleotide transfer-messenger RNA is filed under the name Burkholderiales. Its description in RNAcentral is "Limnohabitans sp009921265 Standard tmRNA". It matches the Rfam family "transfer-messenger RNA". From Rfam's summary of the family: Bacterial tmRNA, also known as 10Sa RNA or SsrA, is named for its dual tRNA and mRNA-like properties. Lineage: Bacteria; Pseudomonadati; Pseudomonadota; Betaproteobacteria. RNAcentral also lists the same sequence under 1 other name. The record is from RNAcentral.